CACCAGACUCCUACGGGAGGCAGCAGUGGGGAAUAUUGCACAAUGGGGGAAACCCUGAUGCAGCGACGCCGCGUGAGCGAUGAGGUAUUUCGGUAUGUAAAGCUCUAUCAGCAGGGAAGAAAAUGACGGUACCUGACUAAGAAGCCCCGGCUAACUACGUGCCAGCAGCCGCGGUAAUACGUAGGGGGCAAGCGUUAUCCGGAAUUACUGGGUGUAAAGGGAGCGCAGACGGCAGUGCAAGUCUGGAGUGAAAGCCCGUGGCUUAACCACGGGACUGCUCUGGAAACUGUGCAGCUAGAGUGCAGGAGAGGCAGGCGGAAUUCCUAGUGUAGCGGUGAAAUGCGUAGAUAUUAGGAGGAACACCAGUGGCGAAGGCGACUUUCUGGACUGUACCUGACGCUGAGGCGCGAAAGCGUGGGUAGCGAACGGGAUUAGAUACCCGUGUAA
Molecule: ribosomal RNA, 447 nt
Filed under: uncultured bacterium
Lineage: Bacteria
Description: bacterial SSU rRNA
Rfam family: Bacterial small subunit ribosomal RNA
Source: RNAcentral